GCCCCAGCAACUGGUCGGCCAAUCGUCGGCUUCCCAGCGACCUUCCAGAUUCAGCCCUCACCGCUCACAGGAAGGGCUGUUGACUCAUCCCUCCGGAGAAAGAGAACGGGAGAAGGUCUGUCUGGCUCAAAGAGGCCCUCCCUUGCUCCAUCGCCUAGUUUCUUUUGGGCAGUGGCUAACUUCCUUCAGGCUUGUUUUAGCUAAAGUCUCCUUUCAAAUAAUAACAAUUACCUUCAGGCUGGCUCCCUCUUACCCGACCACGCCUCCUCUGGGCCUCCUUUGUCUGCCUGUGGUCUGAAAAGGAUGCAGGGACUUGGAAGCCAGAUCAGAAAUGUCAGCCAAAGCCAGACAAAACCAUGACCUUAAGUCUGCAACAGCAGAAGCUGCGGCAUAUAUGCAUUAUAUGUGCAUAUAAUGUUUCCUGAGGCCUCUUAUAAACGGGCUUGGGUUCUCUCUCCCCGCAAGGAUACGGAGAAUUAAGUUGAUGGGCAGCGGCGGUUUUCCGUUGAGUAUGUGUUAAGAAUGCGGACCUCCACUCAGGAAUCCAAGGGGCUGGGGCGACGGGGCAUCUGCUGACAUGGUUGAGAGCACAGAUGUGAUGAGACAGACCCAGGUUCCAAACCUGUCUCCACCACCUCUACAAGCUGUCUAAGCCAGUGUUAAGAUGUUCAAAAUGGGAAUGAGAAUGAUAGUGCCCUCUUCAUAGGAUUAUGAGAAUGAAAUGGGGGUAGGGCAGGUGGGCCUAGCCCCGUGCUUGGCUCACUCAUGCAGGAGUUAUUAUUAACAUGUUCUUUAGCAUCUCGUAUUAAACUUGGCUGGGAAGUGACUCUAGCAGUCUAUCAAUCACCUGGAACAUAUCCCUCCCUUAAGGGACCUCCAGAUGGGGGUGAACGUUGAGAUGCUGGCUGGAACCCUCCUAUCCAUGCCACAGAGUGGAUUGCAUUGUGGCUCUCUCAUCCUGACAGAUCUAAUUCCAACAGCCAAUCAUAGCUGUUCAAAAGCAUUAUUUGCCCACCUCCUGUGCUGCAGGAUCCCAAGCUGGCAAGGGGAGACCUUUUUAUUAAUAUUAAUAAGCAUCCAGGAACAAAGGGCCCCUUUAUUUUCUGCUUUCUCCGACUGCAUAAUAAUUACUCAUCUACACUAAGAAUGAGGCUGACUUUGUCUCCUGGAGGCAAAUAUAAACUGAUGGUUUAUAUUGUUGGAGAAGGCAGGCACCACUCUGGGAUACAUGCAAAACAUGUUCCAUAGAGUCAGAAUCCCGGCUUUCAUCCAGAAGACCUCACCAAUCAGGAAGAAGGCUGAGGACACAGUAAUGUGUUGAGGAGGGGCACCCCAGCUAGGGUUAAUCAGGUGUGGCUUCCUGGCAGUCUGAGCCAAUUGUAAUGGAGGGAGCAGAGAUAAGGACAGACAGAGGCUGCCAUGAGGGCACAGGAGUGGGAACCAACAGUCCCAAGCAGGGAAUGAAUAAUAACUUGUUGGCAGAAGCAAAGAAGAGUCACAGGAAACUAAGGCGGAGUACUGUGACCAAAUGCUCCCCCCUCUCCCCGCCGUGUCUGCCUUGCUCCCCUAACCUGGCUCCAGAUCACAAACCCAGCCCCAGCCAGGGGGAUUAGGGAGGGGUCGAGCUGUGUUCUGUGGGACCGCUGCCAGGCUGAUCUUCCUUAGCUGGUUCUGUCCUUACCAAGUUCCACCGCCAUAAAGCGUAUGAACCUCUCUCUCCCACCAGUAGGACUGUAUCAAUCUGGGUUUCAAGGUCUCCCAGAAUCUAGCCUGCCUCUACUUCAGCAAGCCUGUACCCCCACUGCCCAUCAGGCAGCCUGCCACUGUCCCCCGGGGAACUGGCUGCUUAUCCCAUGCUCAUCAUGACCUUUUAUCCAAGUUCUCCCACCUGAAAUGUCCUCUUACCUCUCACUCCACACCCUUCAGUGUCUACUUUGAGUCUUGCCUCCUAUCUGAGCUUCCCUGCCUGCUGAGUGCUCUCCGAUCAGGCGGGAACGUAGGCUCACUGAAGACCAGCUCUUGUAACAACUGUGUGCUGUGUCCGCCCCCAAAGACUGGGAGCUUGUUGAAGGCAAGGACCUGCCCUGAAAUUCUGCAUCCCACCCCAGACCCCAGUGUGAUGCUGAGCCCAGAGUUAAUCAGCUAAUGGACUGGUUGGUAUGAAGCAGGAAACUGUUGUAGCCGUUUGGCACCACAGGAAAGCCAACAUAAAGACAAUAUUGAAGCCAAAAGGAGGACCGAGCUAAGAGAAGUGCCGACUCCCCGGAGCAGUCUACACAUGAAGCCCACUCUUCCAUGGAUCUUCCAGAAUGUUAGCUGGGUUGGUCCCAAAGCCCUCGGAAAAUGAAUGAAGCUGAGGUCAGCAGCGGGCAGCUCAGCACAUUAUUAUAAAUUCACUGGGGUUACUGAAAUCCAAUGCUGGACUCUUUCUGGUGAAAGACCCGGCUCUCCCAGGAAUGAAGAUUUUAAUGACAAACUGAGAAACAAGGUGCCCAUGCCCAGAACGCAAGGCCAUGGACUGGGAGGCAUGUGUUCGGGCAGGGUCUUUUGGGUAAGUCUGGCUGGUUGCAGCAGCUGGUCAUAACAGGUCACGGAUUUGCUCUCCUUCUGGGCCAGUGUGCUGGCUCUAUUCCAUGGACGCAGAUGUGGCUCUAUCCCAGCGAGAGAGCGUCCCCAGGACCCUACCCCCAGCUUUGGCCAUCUUGAGGCCCCAGAGGAUGCUUGCCGCUAGCACAAGGGAGGCUGGGUGGGAAAGAAGAGAUGAUUGCCCUGCAGCCCCCUUUCCCGGACACUGGAUCCUGCUGAUGGAAGCGCAGGAAAGCCGACCUCAGAAAUGGAGGCAGCACAUUGAUCCACUUUCCUUUUUUAAAUGAAGCUGAUGAGAAGUAAUGCAUCGUGGGAAAUAAGGACUCUCAGCAGGAGGGAUCUAGAUUCUCAAACCACUGCAGGCAAGAAAUGUUAUCUGCCUUUAUAUUCCUUCCUGCCAGCCGCGGAGCAAACCUUCAACGAACGCGUUGCUUGUUGAAAGCAACACCUGGGAACCCUAAAGCUUAAGACACAAAUGACACAAACGAUUCCCGGCUCCCUCCAGCGGCCGGAAGAGUGUGUGUGGGCCGCUACCGUUCACGCCCCUCAGCCCCGAACACAAAUAAGGCGAAGGCUGCCACGGGGAAAUGGAAAAUACCCCGGGAGGGGUGGGACAGGCAAGCCUGCUUCAUGAGCACCUGCACCUACCCUCCUCCCCAAAGCAUUUUCUCUAUGGUUCAAGUUCAACUAGUUCUUCUAUGUCUUGACUUGAAUUUUGCUUUUGUUCACUUUGCCUACUGGAACUGAAACUCUUAGGAUGUCUGGUCACAGGCUAGCGAAGCCGUCUUCCUGGCAGAGCCAGACUUAGGAUUUAGGCCACUAAGGGGGAUUUUUGUUCUCUCUGCCUUCUGCCCCACCACCCCCUGCAGAACAGCUCUUCCCAGAUUUGCCUUCCCAGGCCUCGUUCCGUCCCGUGACUGACUGGCCUGCUCGCAGGCAAUCCUUGUUCGUGCUGACGGUGCCACGGACUUCCACGGCGCCACUCCUCUCUGUUCAGCUGCCAUUCUACUCUGUCACCUCGCACUCUUUCGGGAACUUCAUGAACUCUGUGACUUCCUGGGCUUCAGUCUCCCAUAACAGAUAACUUCUGCCCUGAAGGUUCAGAUUCCACCGGCGUCUUCCCGUGGCAUUAGUUCAGAGCCACCGACUGGCCCGACUUAAAGAGCAGGUCCCAGGUGGCAGCUGUGACUUCAUGUGCCAGCAACUUGUAAAGAUUAGGGCCAUCUCCCAAAGCUCUAAGAGACCUCUGGCACUCCCUUACAGUGCGUCAUCACAAAUGUAGGGGAGAUGGUGUGUCCAGAGACACUGACCGCACACGUCCCUGAGCCUCCGCAGAGGCUGCAGGACUGCGAAGUCUUCUGGGAAGAUGGAGGGAAACUGUGGUCUCCUCUUUAAACGUCACAGGGUCCCCUUCCCACCUGUCCCCUCCCUUCCUCCUCCCCACGAAGCUGUGCCAGUAGUCUCUAUACUAGGAAUGUUGCCACUCUGACCCUACUUGCCCCCACCCUGCCCCCUGGAGACCUCAGGUAAAGGCUUCUCCCUUAUCUUCACCCACAGUGAGAAGAAACGCUAACCUUCACUAGGACUCAGUGCAUUUCCUGUCUGCAGACCGAGCAUCUUAAGAUCUCAAUCCCUUUCCCCGCAACGUCUCACUUUCCCUCCACCCUGGGGACUAGACUGCACAGACAGGACUGCCACACGGACCCGUCUCCUUGAAGGGCCGGAUGUGAGCUGGCAAAGGACUCAACGGAGAAAAGGGCUCGGGGGAGCCUUGAUGGUAGGCCUUAAGAAAUAAGAGAAGACCUGCUCUGUUCAAGAACCAUACGAGGAAGACAAGAACAAGGAAGAACUUUCAGACUCCCUGCAAUCCUGGUUCUGCUCUCUUUCGUGAGAGUUGGUCACUAUCAACAGAGAUCUCAGGAAGGCUAGAGCCGAGGGUGGUGACCCAGCGCUGGGCCGGGGGAGCGGGGAGUGUGAGGGGAGGUGGUGGUGGCUGAUGGCGAGAACAUGGAUCCGAGCCCCUUGGCAACGUUGACAAUAUGGAGCCCCCUCUCUUCCUGGUCCCCCACGCUAUCCUUCAGACAGCCGUGCCGUGCCGGGCUGUCGCGGACCCUGUAAUAUCAACUCAACAAUGCAUGUUCUACAACUACGGCUACAGCUACCAGGACAUCUACUACAGUGCAUGCAUUUAGUUCAGUCCCACAGAUACAUACACUCUAAGAACAGGCAGGGGAGGUGUGAAAUGUUUUACUGGACAACAGGUGUGUUGGAGUUGUAACUAAUAAAAAAAAAAAUCGAAAACGAAAGUGUACAAAAAAAGACAUUUCUUGAGAGUUGGAUAUGAGUUUGUUUCUUGAACUGUUUCAUCUGAACAAGCAAAAACAUGCAAACCAGCUGGUACUAACAGGAAGCUGGACACUGAGAGAGGAUUAAUAGGUGUGGACAAACCUUCCCGCUGAGCGUGCUCAGAAGAGUGUUUGAGAGGAGGUGUGCAGAUCCUAGUGUAAGAGAGGCGGGAAAGUAUGCCUCAGAGACACUCUCUCACCGCAGCCCCAACCAAGCAAGAGAAAAGACAACAGAAACAUGACUCUCGCACUCACCACCACCGUCAGGAACUCAUGUUACUAGAUUGGAAUAAAGCUGGCAAGUAUAAAGUACAGUAAGGGGUCCUGGCUGGGGCCGGAGAUGGGCUGGGGGUGGGCAGGGGGCUCAGAAGCUCUUCGGCUGAUACACAGACCCACCCGUAAUGUCACCCAGAAAUA
This is a long non-coding RNA of Neofelis nebulosa (Clouded leopard), 5348 nucleotides long. RefSeq lists it as uncharacterized. The transcript has 3 exons. The record is from RefSeq and is a predicted model, not a curated record. Lineage: Eukaryota; Metazoa; Chordata; Mammalia; Carnivora; Felidae.